GACGAACGCUGGCGGCGGGCUUAACACAUGCAAGUCGAACGGAAAGGCCCUGCUUUUGUGGGGUGCUCGAGUGGCGAACGGGUGAGUAACACGUGAGUAACCUGCCCUUGACUUUGGGAUAACUUCAGGAAACUGGGGCUAAUACCGGAUAGGAGCUCCUGCUGCAUGGUGGGGGUUGGAAAGUUUCGGCGGUUGGGGAUGGACUCGCGGCUUAUCAGCUUGUUGGUGGGGUAGUGGCUUACCAAGGCUUUGACGGGUAGGCGGCCUGAGAGGGUGACCGGCCACAAUGGGACUGAGAGACGGCCCAGACUCCUACGGGAGGCAGCAGUGGGGAAUAUUGCACAAUCGGCGGAAGCCUGAUGCAGCGACCCCGGGUGCGGAAUGACGGCCUUCGGGUUGUAAACCGCAUUAGCCUGAGACGAAGCGGUAGUGACGGUAAUGGGUGAAGAAGCACCGGCUAACUACGUG
RNAcentral lists this ribosomal RNA (468 nucleotides) under uncultured bacterium. RNAcentral's name for it is "partial 16S ribosomal RNA". It matches the Rfam family "Bacterial small subunit ribosomal RNA", at positions 28 to 507 of the family's 1533-position model. The record is from RNAcentral.